AGAGAUCGGAGACCGAGAAUGUGCAAGGAACGGCGAAAUAGCACCAGCAGGGGAAGGGCGGACGGGUCGAGCAGUGGUGGCCUCCCAGUCGAAACUACGCAUACAACACGUACCCCUCGGUGUUCAUUUACUCUCUCUCUCUCUUCG
Caenorhabditis elegans is the source of this 147-nucleotide non-coding RNA. Lineage: Eukaryota; Metazoa; Nematoda; Chromadorea; Rhabditida; Rhabditidae. The record is from Ensembl.